This 1426-nucleotide long non-coding RNA is filed under the name Homo sapiens (human). Its description in RNAcentral is "novel transcript". Lineage: Eukaryota; Metazoa; Chordata; Mammalia; Primates; Hominidae. The record is from RNAcentral.
AUAGAAAAUUAACACCAUGUGAAGGUGAAGGCAGAGACUGGGUGAUGCUUCUAUAAACCAAGAAACUCCAAGGACUGUCAGCAAACCAGCAGAAGCUAGGAGAGAGGCAUGGAACGGAUUUCUCCUCACAGCCCUCAGAAGAAACCAACCCUGUCACCAUUUUGAUCUUGGACUUUAGCCUCUGGAACUGUGAGACAAUACAUUUCUGUUUGUUUCAGCCACCUAGUUCAUAGUACUUUGAAGUGACCUUUACACCACUCUCACUUAGAGAUGAGGUCUGUGUCCCCUCCUCUUGAAAUUGAGUGGCUUUUGUGACUGUGUACACAGGUAGAGUAAACUGCAGAGCUGCCUGUCUGUGACUUCCAAGGCUAGGUCAUAAAAGGAGAUAAAGCUUCUUCCUGGCUGGUUGGGCUGCUUGCUCUUGAAGCCUUCAGUCUCUAUGCACGCAGCAUGCCUUCCCAGCCUCCUGUGGUUGUAGAGUGUAUAGAAGGCAGUUGGAUCACUAUGGACAGCGGGUAAGAGCUGAGGAAGCAGCCUCCGCCAGGUGGUAACAUGGAGGACCCUGAAGUGCCCUGAGGGUUCGAGGUCUUGGACUUGCUACUAACCUACCAGGUAACCAUGGACAAUCCCGUUCUCCUUCUUGGAUUAAUAAUCAUAAAAGCCACACUUUACUGAGUCAUGAACAGGUUCAAGGUGCUGAUUGCUCACCACUCACAACAGUUCCUUGAGGUAAGUAUGGUUACACCCAUUUUACAGAUGAGGAAGCUGAGUUUGGAGAGAUUUAGUAAUUUACCCAGGGCCAUAUGGAAGCAAGGUGGAGCUGCAGUUCCACUCCAGUGCCAGAGGUCAAGGGAAAAUGCACUCUCCCACGGGGCAUCUUGGCGGUGAGGUGCCAGGAAAGAGUUUUAAGUAGAAAGAUGACACAAUCAAACCUUUGUUUGGAAGAUGGAUCCAAUGUGGGGUGACCAGAAAGGAGGUGUUAUAGUGGUCCAGGCUGGAACUAGGGCAGGGACUGUGGGCUGGAGAGGCAGGGCUGGAUAAGAGUUACAUGGCAAAGGACAAAUCCCCAGCACAUUGGGUUGGAGUGGACAGAGCAGUGGGAGAUUCUGAGGUUUUCAGUGGUGUGGCAGGAAGGAUGAUGGCAGAGACAAGGAGGAGUGGAGGAAGAGGAGGUUUUGGGGGCAGAUGAGAGCUUCACAGCCUAGAAGUAGCCCUGUCCUGGCACUGCGGAAGAGCCUCUGUCCAGACAGCAGUGCCUGAGGUCAUCUGUGGUGUGGAAUUCUAUCUUUCUUUCUUAAUGGUUUCCCAGGCAGGGGCCAUAUCUUCCUGUUUACUCUUUUAAGAAUUAUUUGAAAUGGAGUGUAUGUGUGUGUGUGUGUGUGUGUGUGUGUUUAUUUCUCAGCUUUUAACCUUGCCAACUUGUGCC